GACGAACGCUGGCGGCGUGCUUAACACAUGCAAGUCGAACGGAAAGGCCCUGCUUUUGUGGGGUGCUCGAGUGGCGAACGGGUGAGUAACACGUGAGUAACCUGCCCUUGACUUUGGGAUAACUUCAGGAAACUGGGGCUAAUACCGGAUAGGAGCUCCUGCUGCAUGGUGGGGGUUGGAAAGUUUCGGCGGUUGGGGAUGGACUCGCGGCUUAUCAGCUUGUUGGUGGGGUAGUGGCUUACCAAGGCUUUGACGGGUAGCCGGCCUGAGAGGGUGACCGGCGACAUUGGGACUGAGAUACGGCCCAGACUCCUACGGGAGGCAGAAGUGGGGAAUAUUGCAGAAUGGGCGGAAGCCUGAUGCAGCAACGCCGCGUGCGUGAUGACGGCCUUCGGGUUGUAAACCGCUUUCGCCUGUGACGAAGCGUGAGUGACGGUAAUGGGUAAAGAAGCACCGGCUAACUACGUG
This 468-nucleotide ribosomal RNA is filed under the name uncultured bacterium. RNAcentral's name for it is "partial 16S ribosomal RNA". It matches the Rfam family "Bacterial small subunit ribosomal RNA", at positions 28 to 507 of the family's 1533-position model. The record is from RNAcentral.